UACGUAGGGUGCAAGCGUUAAUCGGAAUUACUGGGCGUAAAGCGCACGUAGGCGGAUUUUUAAGUCAGGGGUGAAAUCCCGAGGCUCAACCUCGGAACUGCCUUUGAUACUGGGGAUCUGGAGUCCGGGAGAGGUGAGCGGAACUGCGAGUGUAGAGGUGAAAUUCGUAGAUAUUCGCAAGAACACCAGUGGCGAAGGCGGCUCACUGGCCCGGAACUGACGCUGAGGUGCGAAAGCGUGGGGAGCAAACAGG
Molecule: ribosomal RNA, 253 nt
Filed under: uncultured bacterium
Lineage: Bacteria
Description: partial 16S ribosomal RNA
Rfam family: Bacterial small subunit ribosomal RNA
Source: RNAcentral